GACGAACGCUGGCGGCGUGCCUAACACAUGCAAGUCGAGCGAUGAAGUUCCUUCGGGAACGAAUUAGCGGCGGACGGGUGAGUAACACGUGGGCAACCUGCCUUGUAGAGGGGAAUAGCCUUCCGAAAGGAAGAUUAAUACCGCAUAAGAUUGUAACUUCGCAUGAAGAAGCAAUUAAAGGAGCAAUCCGCUACAAGAUGGGCCCGCGGCGCAUUAGCUAGUUGGUGAGGUAAUGGCUCACCAAGGCGACGAUGCGUAGCCGACCUGAGAGGGUGAUCGGCCACAUUGGGACUGAGACACGGCCCAGACUCCUACGGGAGGCUG
This 324-nucleotide ribosomal RNA is filed under the name uncultured Bacillota bacterium. RNAcentral describes it as "bacterial SSU rRNA". It matches the Rfam family "Bacterial small subunit ribosomal RNA", at positions 28 to 351 of the family's 1533-position model. The record is from RNAcentral. Lineage: Bacteria; Bacillati; Bacillota.